Long non-coding RNA from Bubalus bubalis (water buffalo), 2459 nucleotides. RefSeq lists it as uncharacterized. The transcript is spliced from 4 exons. The record is from RefSeq and is a predicted model, not a curated record. NCBI's taxonomy places the organism in Eukaryota, Metazoa, Chordata, Mammalia, Artiodactyla, Bovidae.
AGGGACUGUUCAGAAUGCCUGAGAAACAGAAAUCCAAAACAGAGUCUCUGCUGUUAUGCAGCUUAUAUUUUAAUGAGAAAGACUGACAGUAAACAUGAUAACAAACUAUUUAGUAUGUUAGACAGUGCAAUAUGGCAAGGAAAAAAUUAAUAAAGCAGCAAGAGGUAAUAGGACAUGUCAGGAAAGGAGCCUGAAUUUUAGACAACACAGCCAGGGAACUCUUCACAGAAAAUAUCUGCACAAAGCAGAGGGAGCAGCCAACACAGAGAUGCUGAAGUGGGAUUAUGCCUGGAAUGUUCAGAAGUUCAAGAAGGCCACUGUGGUUGAAGAGGACUUAGCAAGACGGAGAUCAGCGGAGAAGUAGGUGAGUGCAGUGAGGCACCGGAGCGCCAGAUGAAAGAGCUCGAAAGGAUUCAGUGAGGGCUUUGACUUGCACCGAAUGUGAGAGAGGAAGCCCUUGGAGGAUUGCACACACAAGAGGAAUGUGGCCUGGCCGGCGCUUUCAAAGGGCCUCUCUGUGUGAAGACUUUACUGAGAGGCAGUAAGAACAGAAGUGCGGGAGGCUGUUGAUAGGGAGACUUUAGGUAGGAGGCUACUGAACGAAUCUAGGUGGUAACAGCAAGAGUGGCAAGACAUGGCUGAAUUCUGGAUAUAAUUUGAAGGGCUGCUGACCCUGAGACAGUUAACCUCCAGCAGACUGAGAAAUCCUAGAGACAGGAGGAAGCUGCAGUACCUUUUAUGACCCAGUCUCCAGUAUUUGGAAUUCUCCAGGUUUUAUUUUAUGUGCUUCCUUGAGACUGGAUUGUGAAAGAGACUGAAAAGUAUCAGAAAGUUUCAUGACUGAGUUAUUUUUUUAAUGAGAUAUUAUUUGCUUAGUGUGAAAUGGACAGAUCUUAAACUCCUAGCAAGAUACAGAACAUGACCAGCACCUCAGAAGGUUCCCUUGUGCCUCUGCCAAUGAAUUUUUUACCACACAGGUGGAUUCUUUACCGCUACAUCACCUGGGAAGUGGUAAAGAAUCUGACUACUCCCAGGGAAAAAAAUCAUCAGGAUCAGAUGUAUUUACCAUUGAUUUUUAUCUAACCUUAAAGACAGAGGAUGAGAUGGCUGGAUGGCAUCACUGACUCGAUGGACGUGAGUCUGAGUGAACUCCGGGAGUUGGUGAUGGACAGGGAGGUCUGGCGUGCUGCAAUUCAUGGGGUGGCAAAGAGUCGGACACGACUGAGCGACUGAACUGAAAGAACAGAUGAUUUUUAUGUUAUUUAAACUUUAGCCCUAGAAAAAGAUUAAAAUCUCUCUAAUUGAUAUCUUAAAUCCAAUGUAACUUUAAUACUAAGCCAUUAAAUUCUCUGGAAUGUAUACCCAGGAAUGGAAAUGCUGGGUUGUAUUUUAACUGUAUGUUUAAGUAUUUGAGGAACUGCCAAACUGUUUUCCAAAGGUGUCUACACACCACUUUAAAUUCCUAUCAAUUUUUCUACAUCCUCAUCAACACUUACUGUUGUCUUUUUUAUUAUAGCCAUUCUAGUCUGUAUGAAAUGGCAUCUUACUGUGGUUUUGAUUUGUAUUUCCCUUUAUUACUAAUGAUAUUGAUGAUGUUUUCAGUACUUAUUGGCCAUUUGUAUAUCAUCUUUUAUAUUAAGUUGUUCCCACACCAUUUGUUGAAAAGACUGUUCUUCUCUCCAUUGAAAUUUCUUGGCAUCCUUAUCACAAAUAAGUUGCCUUCAAAUAUGUGGGCUUCCUUCUGACUCUCAAUUUUAUUCUAUUGAUCUAUAUGCCCAUACCUUUUCCAGAGCCAAAUGAUUUUGUUUAUUUUAGCUUUGAAAUCAUGAUAUGCAAGUCCUCCAACUUGAAUUUGCCAAACAAGAUUGUUUUGGCUAUUCUAGGUUCUGAAUUUCCAUAUGAAUCCCACCUGUGAAGAAGAACAGGUGGGGUUUUGAGAGGAAUUGCACUGAGUUUGUAGAACAACUUGGGUAGUAUUGUUAUCUGAACAAAUUCUUUGUCUGUGAACGUGAAUGUCUUUCUACUUUCUUAGGUCUUAAUUUCUUUCAACAUGUAUAAAUAUUGCACUUAUUUUGUUAAAUUUAUUCCUGACUAUAUUAUUCUUUUUUAGAUGCUAUUGUAAAGGAAAUCAUUUUAUUAAUUUUAUUUUGGGUUGUUUAUUGUUAGCAUAUAAAAACACAAUUGAUUUUUAUAUGCUGGUAUUGUAACCUGCAACUUUGAUAAACUCAUUGAUUAGCUCCAAUAGUUUUUUGUGGAUUUCUUAGGAUUUUCUGUAUAUGGAAUAUCACUUGCAAAUAGAGAUAAUUUUACUUCUUCCUUUCCAAUUUGGAUUUUUUAAAUUAUUAAUCUUGCCUAAUUGCCCUACUUAUAACCUCCAGAACAAUGCUGAAUAAAAGUGGUAAGACUAGCUAUCUUUGUCUUGUUCCUGAUCUUAGGAAAUAAACUUUCCAUCUUUCACC